UACGUAGGGUGCGAGCGUUAAUCGGAAUUACUGGGCGUAAAGGGCGCGUAGGCGGCCACCGCAAGUCGACUGUGAAAUCUCCGGGCUUAACCCGGAAAGGUCAGCCGAUACUGCGGGGCUAGAGUGCAGAAGGGGCAACUGGAAUUCUCGGUGUAGCGGUGAAAUGCGUAGAUAUCGAGAGGAACACCUGCGGCGAAGGCGGGUUGCUGGGCUGACACUGACGCUGAUGCGCGAAAGCUAGGGGAGCGAACGGG
Molecule: ribosomal RNA, 254 nt
Filed under: uncultured bacterium
Lineage: Bacteria
Description: partial 16S ribosomal RNA
Rfam family: Bacterial small subunit ribosomal RNA
Source: RNAcentral